RNAcentral lists this ribosomal RNA (254 nucleotides) under uncultured bacterium. RNAcentral describes it as "partial 16S ribosomal RNA". It matches the Rfam family "Bacterial small subunit ribosomal RNA", at positions 524 to 776 of the family's 1533-position model. The record is from RNAcentral.
UACAGAGGGGGCAAGCGUUGUUCGGAAUUACUGGGCGUAAAGGGCGCGUAGGCGGCCUACUAAGUCGAACGUGAAAUCCCCGGGCUUAACCCGGGAACUGCGUCCGAUACUGGUUGGGCUUGAAUCCGGGAGAGGGAUGCGGAAUUCCAGGUGUAGCGGUGAAAUGCGUAGAUAUCUGGAGGAACACCGGUGGCGAAGGCGGCAUCCUGGACCGGUAUUGACACUGAGGCGCGAAAGCCAGGGGAGCAAACGGG